This 76-nucleotide transfer RNA is filed under the name Chloroflexota bacterium. Its description in RNAcentral is "Chloroflexi bacterium tRNA-Met". It matches the Rfam family "tRNA". Rfam says of the family: Transfer RNA (tRNA) molecules are approximately 80 nucleotides in length. Their secondary structure includes four short double-helical elements and three loops (D, anti-codon, and T loops). Further hydrogen bonds mediate the characteristic L-shaped molecular structure. tRNAs have two regions of fundamental functional importance: the anti-codon, which is responsible for specific mRNA codon recognition, and the 3' end, to which the tRNAs corresponding amino acid is attached (by aminoacyl-tRNA synthetases). tRNAs cope with the degeneracy of the genetic code in two manners: having more than one tRNA (with a specific anti-codon) for a particular amino acid; and 'wobble' base-pairing, i.e. permitting non-standard base-pairing at the 3rd anti-codon position. Lineage: Bacteria; Bacillati; Chloroflexota. The record is from RNAcentral.
GGCAGGGUAGCUCAGUGGUUAGAGCAGGGGCUUCAUAAGCCCUGUGUCGCGGGUUCGACCCCCGCCCCUGCCACCA